GUAGCNGUGAAAUGCAUAGAUAUUACUUAGAACACCAAUUGCGAAGGCAGGUUACUAAGCAACAACUGACGCUGAUGGACGAAAGCGUGGGGAGCGAACAGGAUUAGAUACCNUGGUAGNNNACGCCGUAAACGAUGCUAACUCGUUUUUGGAAUGUAAGUUUCAGAGACUAAGCGAAAGUGAUAAGUUAGCCACCUGGGGAGUACGAACGCAAGUUUGAAACUCAAAGGAAUUGACGGGGGCCCGCACAAGCGGUGGAUUAUGUGGUUUAAUUCGAUGAUACGCGAGGAACCUUACCAAGGCUUAAAUGGGAAAUGACAGGUUUAGAAAUAGACUUUUCUUCGGACAUUUUUCAAGGUGCUGCAUGGUUGUCGUCAGCUCGUGCCGUGAGGUGUUAGGUUAAGUCCUGCAACGAGCGCAACCCCUGUCACUAGUUGCCAUCAUUAAGUUGGGGACUCUAGUGAGACUGCCUACGCAAGUAGAGAGGAAGGUGGGGAUGACGUCAAAUCAUCACGGCCCUUACGCCUUGGGCCACACACGUAAUACAAUGGCCGGUACAGAGGGCAGCUACACUGCGAAGUGAUGCAAAUCUCGAAAGCCGGUCUCAGUUCGGAUUGGAGUCUGCAACUCGACUCUAUGAAGCUGGAAUCGCUAGUAAUCGCGCAUCAGCCAUGGCGCGGUGAAUACGUUCCCGGGCCUUGUACACACCGCCCGUCAAGCCAUGGAAGUCUGGGGUACCUGAAGUCGGUGACCGUAACAGGAGCUGCCUAGGGUAAAACAGGUAACUAGGGCU
RNAcentral lists this ribosomal RNA (793 nucleotides) under uncultured prokaryote. RNAcentral's name for it is "bacterial SSU rRNA". It matches the Rfam family "Bacterial small subunit ribosomal RNA", at positions 675 to 1482 of the family's 1533-position model. The record is from RNAcentral.